GGUGAAAAGAACCCCGGGAGGGGAGUGAAAAGAACCUGAAACCUUGUGCUUACAAGCACACAAAGCACGUCAACGUGUGAUGUGGUACCUUUUGUAGAAUGGUCCGGCGAGUGAAUGUAACUGGCGAGGUUAAGUUCUUAAGGAACGGAGCCGAAGCGAAAGCAAGUCUGAAUAGGGCGUCUUAGUCAGUUGUAUUCGACCCGAAACCGGGUGACCUAUCCAUGUCCAGGAUGAAGUUAAGGUAAAACUUGAUGGAGGUCCGAACCCACGGUCGUUGAAAUGCCCGGGGAUGAGAUGUGGAUAGCGGAGAAAUUCCAAUCGAACCCGGAUAUAGCUGGUUCUCUCCGAAAUAGCUUUAGGGCUAGCCUCGACUGAACAUUACCGGAGGUAGAGCACUGAAUGGGCUAGGGGCCGAGAGGUUACUGAACCCUAUCAAACUUCAAAUGCCGGAAAAUGAUAGUCGGGAGUCAGACUGCGUGAGAUAAGUUUCGUAGUCGAAAGGGAAACAGCCCAGACCCACAGCUAAGGUCCCAAAGUACGGUUAAGUGGAAAAGGAUGUGGAGUUGCACAGACAACCAGGAUGUUGGCUUAGAAGCAGCCACUCAUUAAAAGAGUGCGUAAUAGCUCACUGGUCGAGUGACUCUGCGCCGAAAAUUUAACGGGGCUAAAUCGUACACCGAAGCUUGGGAAUAUCAGUUAUUCUUCAUGGACUUGCAAGGAAAGACACCAUGGCACGGAGUGCCAUCAAAUUGUCCAUAAGGAUAAAGCGAGCUUGUGAAGAAUAACUGAUGUUGGUAGGAGAGCGUUGAAUGCGGGGUGAAGUCAGAGCGAAAGCGCUGGUGGACUGCAUUGAAGUGAGAAUGCCGGAAUGAGUAGCGAGAUUUAUGUGAGAAUCAUAAAGGCCGAAAGACUAAGGUUUCAGAAGGAAGGUUCGUCCGCUUCUGGUUAGCCGGGAGCUAAGGUGAGGCCGAAAGGCGUAGCCGAUGCACAUACGGUGGAGAUUCCGUAGCCGUCGAAAUAUUUAAGCAAAGGGACACUUAUGAAGGACAUGACCCGGGCGAUGGUAGCCCCGGGCGUAAGGGACUGAAAACAAGUAGGGAAGCAUGUUUGGAUUAAGGCGAGAAAAGCUUUGUGUAUAUAUGAGACGUCCGUACCGCAAACCGACACAGGUAGUCAGGAAGAGGAUUCUAAGGCCAACGGGAGAAGGGUAGUUAAGGAACUCGGCAAAUUGACCCCGUAACUUCGGGAUAAGGGGCGGUGCGUAAGCACCCGCAGUGAAUAGGUCCAGGCGACUGUUUAUCAAAAACACAGCUCUCUGCUAAAUCGAAAGAUGACGUAUAGGGGGUGACACCUGCCCGGUGCUGGAAGGUUAAGAGGAGGAGUGCAAGCUCCGAAUUGAAGCCCCAGUAAACGGCGGCCGUAACUAUAACGGUCCUAAGGUAGCGAAAUUCCUUGUCGGGUAAGUUCCGACCCGCACGAAUGGUGUAACGAUCUGGACGCUGUCUCAACUGCCCACCCGGCGAAAUUGUAGUACCGGUGAAGAUGCCGGUUACCCGCGGCAAGACGGAAAGACCCCAUGGAGCUUUACUGUAACUUGAUAUUGGGUCUUGGUAUUCUAUGUACAGGAUAGGCGGGAGACUAUGAAACAUACACGCCAGUGUAUGCGGAGUCACCCUUGGGAUACCGCUCUUAGAGUACUGAGAUUCUAACCUGCGGCCGUGAAUCCGGUCGGGGGACAUUGUCAGGUGGGCAGUUUGACUGGGGCGGUCGCCUCCUAAAAGGUAACGGAGGCGCUCAAAGGUUAGCUCAGCACGGUCGGAAACCGUGCCUCUGAGUGCAAACGCAAAAGCUAGCCUAACUGCGAGGCUGACGGGCCGAGCAGUAACGAAAGUUG
This 1894-nucleotide ribosomal RNA is filed under the name human gut metagenome. RNAcentral describes it as "bacterial LSU rRNA". It matches the Rfam family "Bacterial large subunit ribosomal RNA", at positions 513 to 2408 of the family's 2925-position model. The record is from RNAcentral.